Chionomys nivalis (European snow vole) is the source of this 560-nucleotide long non-coding RNA. RefSeq lists it as uncharacterized. The transcript is spliced from 3 exons. The record is from RefSeq and is a predicted model, not a curated record. Lineage: Eukaryota; Metazoa; Chordata; Mammalia; Rodentia; Cricetidae.
GGUGCUGUGUGUUAUGCCCAGUGCGUUAGUGAGCACAAGCCUGGUGCUUGAGAUGAGCUAGUGCAACUUCGAGAAGCAAAGGGAAAUGGCAGUGAAAUUACCUGAUGGUGAGUAAAUCAGACGUUCCCGACAGUUUGCUCAGGUCUGCCAUCACCUGCCAGCUGACUUAGCCUGCUUUGAGCACCCAUCUCCAGCCCUGCUCAUGUAGAAAAAGACGCGCCCCCCUUACCAUGCACUGUUGCAAAGUAGCCUUGUAGUGUGGCCAGAUGGCUGCCUGAACUUGACCUGAGCUGAUAGCCCCUAGGAAAUAGAAACGCGCCCCUCCCCCCGACUUUUUCAGGAAUUCUGAGGCCAGUUUCCCAUUCCUCCCUAAAUAGCUAGUCAGCUGGCCCCUCCAGGUGACAUCAUAACACAUCCUGGUUACAUCAGGCACAGACCUGGGGGCCUGGCUGGGACUUCUGUUUUGCCCAUAAAAGAAAAAAAAUUAACCCACGAAGGAAGAAUCUGCCCUAAACCUUCAAAGGCCCUAGAAAACCUAACUUACAGCUCUCCCUGGCCAA